UUGGGACUAGCAUAACAUAUUGCAUAUCAUUUUUAGGUCAUUAGGCAUUGCAUAUUGCAUAUCAUGUGGUUACAUUGUGCAAGUUAUCCUCCUAAGUCUUGGUCAGCAGAUAAGAGGUGGAGAUGCAAGCCUAGGGUUUUAUUGACUGAUCAUUAGCCAUCUGAGGAUUGGGCUAUGAAUUAGGGUUUUGGAUUCUCAAGGGGAUUGGUCUUGAUCUUG
RNAcentral lists this long non-coding RNA (219 nucleotides) under Lathyrus oleraceus (garden pea). RNAcentral's name for it is "Pisum sativum (pea) long non-coding RNA (PSAT_LNC002217)". Lineage: Eukaryota; Viridiplantae; Streptophyta; Magnoliopsida; Fabales; Fabaceae. The record is from RNAcentral.